Sarcophilus harrisii (Tasmanian devil) is the source of this 1065-nucleotide long non-coding RNA. RefSeq lists it as uncharacterized. Lineage: Eukaryota; Metazoa; Chordata; Mammalia; Dasyuromorphia; Dasyuridae. The record is from RefSeq and is a predicted model, not a curated record. The transcript has 3 exons.
GACGACUGAAUGAGACCCAGGUGAAGAUUUUUAAAUCCUCGGCUAAGAAAAGGCAGAGGUUUCCCAUUGUAGAAUUAGUGUGAGUGCUAUUUAAGAAAAUCUGCUUCUGGGGAGGGAGCCACUUGGGGGAGAGGGGCUGAGGAGGAAGCACUGCCACCCCCUUGCUCCAAUGAAGCCUGGGUGUGAGUCUGUUGGAAGCUGGAGGGGAAGGAGCAGCUGCAGCUGCCAGGUCUUGGAACGGAGCCAGGAGAUCUUUGGUGUGGACCGGUAGUGGUUCAGUGGGGCCAAGGGCAACGGGGCUCAACCACCACUGAGAACAUGGAGAAGGGGCAUCCAGGGCAAUACAAGCCAGAUUGACAAAGAGAGACACUUCAGUGAUAAGGCAAGACGGGUUGCCCAGGGAAGUGCUGAUAUGACCAUCUUCCAGUCACCAAGAUGAACUCUUCACUCAUCUUUGACUCAUAGAAUGUCAAGGUCUGUCAAUUCUACUUCCGCCAUUUUUCCUAUCUGUCCCUUCCAAACCUACAGCAACCAUCCUAGUGCAAGUUGUUCUCCCUUUAAAAGAUAUUGUAUGACUAGUUUUCAUUAAACUAAUUAAUCCAUUUUCUUCCAGUAUACCUCUAAUUCAUUCUUCCACAUAAGUCCCUGAACCUAAUGGCUCUCCAUUGCCUCUGAAAUCAAACACAAAUUCAGGAUCCUGGCAUGCAAGGCUCUGCACUCUGAUUCCAACCUCCCUUUAGAGCUUCAUGUAUACUACACUUCCUCUUCAUGUUAUUACUUUUUAGACAAACUACCUUUUCAGUUCCUUGUUCUUCUCACCUUCUCCAAUCUAUGCCUUUGUUCAUUCCUCAAACUGAUUAUUACUUCCACUCUCAAAUGCUUAACACUUUUUUAAGUGUUUUCCUUCCUGGCUCAACUCUUCCUGAAGAUGGUGUCUUUAGAACAACCCCUUCUCUGACUCUCCCAAGAGUGUCUCCCUCACCAAAUUUCUGACAACACCUUGCUUAUAAUUCUUAUACUCUUUAACAGGUUAUUUUUCUUUUUUUCUUUUCUUUUCUUUUUCUU